AAUAAAGUGGCUGAGUAAAAGCGGCAAAUUGUAAAUUUGUAGACGAAAUUAAAAUUCCUUUAUUA
Molecule: transfer RNA, 65 nt
Filed under: Hemigrapsus sinensis
Lineage: Eukaryota; Metazoa; Arthropoda; Malacostraca; Decapoda; Varunidae
Description: tRNA-Tyr
Rfam family: tRNA
About the family: Transfer RNA (tRNA) molecules are approximately 80 nucleotides in length. Their secondary structure includes four short double-helical elements and three loops (D, anti-codon, and T loops).
Source: RNAcentral